RNAcentral lists this ribosomal RNA (1357 nucleotides) under metagenome. Its description in RNAcentral is "SSU rRNA". It matches the Rfam family "Eukaryotic small subunit ribosomal RNA", at positions 5 to 1360 of the family's 1831-position model. The record is from RNAcentral.
UGGUUGAUCCUGCCAGUAGUCAUAUGCUUGUCUCAAAGAUUAAGCCAUGCAUGUCUAAGUACACACUUUGGUAAAGUGAAACCGCGAAUGGCUCAUUAAAUCAGCUACAAUUUAUUAGAUCGUACACUGUUACUUGGAUAACUGUGGGAAUUCUAGAGCUAAUACAUGCCGAGAGUCUCUGCUCUUCGGGGCAGAGCGCAGUUAUUAGACCAAAACCAGCCGUAUUCUUCGGGGUACGCUCUUUUGGUGACUCUGGAUAACCUUCAGCCGAUCGCAUGGCCUCGUGCCGGCGACGUAUCUUUCAAGUGUCUGCCCUAUCAACUUUCGAUGGUACGUGAUAUGCCUACCAUGGUGAUAACGGGUAACGGGGAAUCAGGGUUCGAUUCCGGAGAGGGCGCCUGAGAAAUGGCUACCACAUCCAAGGAUGGCAGCAGGCGCGCAAAUUACCCACUCCCAGCUUGGGGAGGUAGAGACGAAAAAUAACAAUGCGGGACUCUAAGAGGCCCCGUAAUUGGAAUGAGUACACCUUAAAUCGUUUAACGAGUAUCAAUUGGAGGGCAAGUCUGGUGCCAGCAGCCGCGGUAAUUCCAGCUCCAAUAGCGUAUAUUAAAGUUGCUGCAGUUAAAAAGCUCGUAGUUGGAUCUGGGGCUUGAGGUCGCUGUCUAUCGUUUCGGCGAUGACGGUGAUGCUCAGCUCUGCUUGCCGGUGACUGUUGCGGUGUUCUUCACUGAGCGCUGUAGCAGCACGGCACGUUUACUUUGAAAAAAUUAGAGUGCUCGAAGCGUGCUUGUCGCUUGAAUAAUGUUGCAUGGAAUAAUGGAAUAGGACCUCGGUUCUAUUUUGUUGGUUUUCGGAGCUUGAGGUAAUGAUUAAGAGGGACGAACGGGGGCAUUCGUAUUGCGGUGUUAGAGGUGAAAUUCUUGGAUCGCCGCAAGACGGACUACUGCGAAAGCAUUUGCCAAGAACGCUUUCAUUAAUUAAGAAAAGUCAGAGGUUCGAAGACGUUCAGACACCGUCCUAGUUCUGACCAUAAACGAUGCCGACCAGCGAUCCGUAGUGGUUGCUUUAUGGACCCUACGGGCAGCCUCCGGGAAACCAAAGUAUUUGGGUUCCGGGGGAAGUAUGGUUGCAAAGCUGAAACUUAAAGGAAUUGACGGAAGGGCACACCAGGAGUGGAGCCUGCGGCUUAAUUUGACCCAACACGGGAAAACUCACCCGGUCCGGACACCGUAAGGAUUGACAGACUGAUAGCUCUUUCUUGAUUCGGUGGAUGGUGGUGCAUGGCCGUUCUUAGUUGGUGGAGUGAUUUGUCUGGUUAAUUCCGAUAACGAACGAGACUCUAGCCUGCUAAGUAGUG